GCCUAUUUAAUAUAUAUAGUAUAUUUGACUUCCAAUCAAAAAGAUCAUUAAAUGAAAUAGGCA
RNAcentral lists this transfer RNA (63 nucleotides) under Thermobia domestica (firebrat). RNAcentral describes it as "tRNA-Gly". Lineage: Eukaryota; Metazoa; Arthropoda; Insecta; Zygentoma; Lepismatidae. The record is from RNAcentral.